Molecule: ribosomal RNA, 235 nt
Filed under: uncultured bacterium
Lineage: Bacteria
Description: partial 16S ribosomal RNA
Rfam family: Bacterial small subunit ribosomal RNA
Source: RNAcentral
UACGGAGGGUGCAAGCGUUAUCCGGAUUCACUGGUUUAAAGGGAGCGUAGGUGGGCUUGUAAGUCAGUGGUGAAAUCUCCGGGCUUAACCGGAACUGACCAUUGAUACUAUCAGUCUUGAAUACCGUGGAGGUAAGCGGAAUAUGUCAUGUAGCGGUGAAAUGCUUGAUAUGACAUAGAACACCAAUUGCGAAGGCAGCUUACUACCCGAAAUAUUGACACUGAGGCACUGAAAG